Molecule: unclassified non-coding RNA, 240 nt
Filed under: Ascomycota sp.
Lineage: Eukaryota; Fungi; Ascomycota
Description: partial contains small subunit ribosomal RNA, internal transcribed spacer 1, and 5.8S ribosomal RNA
Rfam family: Eukaryotic small subunit ribosomal RNA (bases 1-47)
Source: RNAcentral
AAAGUCGUAACAAGGUCUCCGUUGGUGAACCAGCGGAGGGAUCAUUACAGAGUUGAAAGACUCCCAAACCACUGUGAACAUACCCGAAACCGUUGCCUCGGCGGGUGGCCCCAGGGCGGGGCCGCAGCCUCCCUAGCGGAGGUGCCCGCCGCAGGUUACAGAACUCUAUGAAUAUCUAAUGGCACUUCUGAGUAUACUCUUGAGCAAUUAAAACUUUCAACAACGGAUCUCUUGGUUCUG